Molecule: unclassified non-coding RNA, 1352 nt
Filed under: Hevea brasiliensis (rubber tree)
Lineage: Eukaryota; Viridiplantae; Streptophyta; Magnoliopsida; Malpighiales; Euphorbiaceae
Source: RNAcentral
ACUUAUGCAAACAGAAUCUCACCAAUUUCAAAUGUUUAAAAUUCUUAAUGAUAAAAUUGGUAAAUGACUUGAUCCUUUAGUAACAGAAAGUCACUAUCCUUCUCUUUAAGUAUAUGGAACUUGCGCCGAGGGAGGGACGGUCAAAGCCUCCAUUAAUUCAUGAACUAAGCAAAUUAUUCUGCAAAUAGUAAUUUCCUUAAUGCACAUGGUUGGUACCCAUAUUUCAAAGAUAGGACGAUCCAUUGACUAGCUGUCCCUAGGGAUUUGUUUUAUCCACUUAAGUAGUAAUUUACAAUAGGGAAAGACCUUCUUUUUCGUAUUAAAAUUUGAUAAUCUGCAUUUUAAAUAAUUUGUUAGAAAUUAGGUGUUAUUUCUUUCUACGUUAUAGACUAUAAUCAUCUUGUUCUAGAUCCCUGAUGCAUAACAGCAUUGUAUUCACAAUUCCGCUCUCUAACUACUCAACUUUUGUCAACUAUACUUUCUUCAUUUACAAUUCUUUCUAAGGCAAUCAUUAUGAGUGGAAGAAAAGGAGAAGACUUCUUAUGGUUCCUUUCUUAAGCAAGUUGUGUCAUGGAUUCAUUCUUUGAUUAAAAAAAAUCCCCUAAUUCUGAAAAGAUCUCAGCUUUUCUCCUAUUCAUUGUUCUUCUUCUGCUUCACCCAAAACAUUUACAAAUUCCACAACUAUUUCUUUAUGAAUCAUAUUUAUCAUUCUAAGCAAUUCAUUCAUGCAACCUAUACAGUCGGUUCAUGUACCCUAGUACUCCCUUUUCCCAAAAUGAUUCAAAUUCGAGUCUAUAUUCUAAAAGACCAUCAAUUUCAUCAGCUUUUAUUCAGCAGUCUUACUAAAUUACUGCAAUGUGAACCAAAGCCAGGAAAAAUUAUAGAUACAAUCAUUAAUAUUCACUUCUUUUUAAAACAAAAAAUAAAAAAUCCAUUUCUACAUUUGUAUUAAAGCACCUUCCCUAGUGCCUUGUGAAAUCUCAGUGCCAUCACUUCAUUACGAAGGCAUCCAUAAGCUACAUUUGAAAGCCUAACACUUACUUAACUCCCUACUAUAACCAUAUUUUUUUUCUUCUUGUACAAGACCACUUACAAUAUCAUAUCCUAUUGAGCAUCCCCAAUUAGCUCUCCUUUGUAUCAACUAUCAACAAACAAUGAAAUGUAUGGACGAAUUUAUAUUGGAACAUGACAAUUCCUCCCUCAUAUUCAACAGAUAGUCUCAUAUAUUAAAUUGGCUCAUAAAUUAAAAUGGCCAUUCACUUACUAAUUUUUUCAAUCUCAAAAAUUUAUAAAUUAUAUCAACAUGCACUUGCACAUGUAUUAAGAGUAAAAAACCAUCAGAGUUGCUCAAG